GAUGAACGCUGGCGGCGUGCUUAACACAUGCAAGUCGAACGGUGAAGGAGAGCUUGCUCUCUGGAUCAGUGGCGAACGGGUGAGUAACACGUGAGCAAUCUGCCCUUGACUCUGGGAUAAGCGCUGGAAACGGCGUCUAAUACUGGAUAUGAGCUGCGACCGCAUGGUCAGUAGUUGGAAAGAAUUUCGGUCAAGGAUGAGCUCGCGGCCUAUCAGCUUGUUGGUGAGGUAAUGGCUCACCAAGGCGUCGACGGGUAGCCGGCCUGAGAGGGUGACCGGCCACACUGGGACUGAGACACGGCCCAGACUCCUACGGGUGGCUG
Molecule: ribosomal RNA, 323 nt
Filed under: uncultured Actinomycetes bacterium
Lineage: Bacteria; Bacillati; Actinomycetota; Actinomycetes
Description: bacterial SSU rRNA
Rfam family: Bacterial small subunit ribosomal RNA
Source: RNAcentral